This 258-nucleotide ribosomal RNA is filed under the name uncultured bacterium. RNAcentral's name for it is "partial 16S ribosomal RNA". It matches the Rfam family "Bacterial small subunit ribosomal RNA", at positions 98 to 354 of the family's 1533-position model. The record is from RNAcentral.
CCGCACGGGUGAGUAACACGUAUGCAACCUGCCUGCCACAGCCGGAUAAUCGGGAGAAAUUCCGUCUAAUACGGCAUAAUGCAUCGACGGGACAUCCUGUUGGUGCCAAAGGUUGAUUCCGGUGGCGGAUGGGCAUGCGUCGCAUUAGUUAGUUGGCGGUGUAACGGACCACCAAGACGACGAUGCGUAGGGGUUCUGAGAGGAAGGUCCCCCACACUGGUACUGAGACACGGACCAGACUCCUACGGGAGGCAGCAG